This 39-nucleotide ribosomal RNA is filed under the name Oncidium heteranthum. RNAcentral describes it as "partial 26S ribosomal RNA". The record is from RNAcentral. Lineage: Eukaryota; Viridiplantae; Streptophyta; Magnoliopsida; Asparagales; Orchidaceae.
GCGACCCCAGGAUGGGCGAGGCCACCCGCUGAGUUUAGC